GACGAACGCUGGCGGCGUGCUUAACACAUGCAAGUCGAACGGAAAGGCCCUGCUUUUGUGGGGUGCUCGAGUGGCGAACGGGUGAGUAACACGUGAGUAACCUGCCCUUGACUUUGGGAUAACUUCAGGAAACUGGGGCUAAUACCGGAUAGGAGCUCCUGCUGCAUGGUGGGGGUUGGAAAGUUUCGGCGGUUGGGGAUGGACUCGCGGCUUAUCAGCUUGUUGGUGGGGUAGUGGCUUACCAAGGCUUUGACGGGUAGCCGGCCUGAGAGGGUGACCGGGCACAUUGGGACUGAGAGACGGACCAGACUCCUACGGGAGGCAGCAGUGGGGAAUAUUGCACAAUGGGCGGAAGCCUGAUGCAGCAACGCCGCGUGCGGGAUGACGGCCUUCGGGUUGUAAACCGCUUUCGCCUGUGACGAAGCGUGAGUGACGGUAAUGGGUAAAGAAGCACCGGCUAACUACGUG
RNAcentral lists this ribosomal RNA (468 nucleotides) under uncultured bacterium. Its description in RNAcentral is "partial 16S ribosomal RNA". It matches the Rfam family "Bacterial small subunit ribosomal RNA", at positions 28 to 507 of the family's 1533-position model. The record is from RNAcentral.